UGGAAGUAAAAAGUCGUAACAAGGUUUCCGUAGGUGAACCUGCGGAAGGAUCAUUACAGAAUUUUGAGAAUUGUGCUUAACUGCACUUUUCUUAUCUACACACGUGUUUUUGUUUUAUUCUUAAAACUUGCUUUGGCAGUGGCUGCUUAAUUGCUCUGCUGCCAGAGGAUAAACUCAACCUAAAUUUUUUAUUUUAAACUAGUCAACUGAUUAUAUUUAUUAAUAGUCAAAACUUUCAACAACGGAUCUCUUGGUUCUCGCAUCGAUGAAGAACGCAGCGAAAUGCGAUAAGUAAUAUGAAUUGCAGAUAUUCGUGAAUCAUCGAAUCUUUGAACGCACAUNGCGCCCUCUGGUAUUCCGGAGGGCAUGCCUGUUUGAGCGUCAUUUCUCCCUCAAACCCCCGGGUUUGGUGAUGAGCAAUACGCCAGGUUUGCUUGAAAGUUAGGAGGAGUAUUUAUAACAAUGUAUUAGGUCUAACCACUCCAUUGUGCUUAAUAAAAGCUCCAAUCUAUAUUUCAAACUUCGACCUCAAAUCAGGUAGGAUUACCCGCUGAACUUAAGCAUAUCAAUAAGCGGGAGGAA
Molecule: ribosomal RNA, 582 nt
Filed under: Lodderomyces elongisporus
Lineage: Eukaryota; Fungi; Ascomycota; Pichiomycetes; Serinales; Debaryomycetaceae
Description: eukaryotic LSU rRNA
Rfam family: 5.8S ribosomal RNA (bases 231-384)
Source: RNAcentral